UACCCUGGUUAAUGNAAAAUGAAGAGCCGCAGUAAUCUGACUGUGCUAAGGUAGCAUAAUCAUUUGUCUUUUAAUUAAAGACUAGUAUGAAAGGUCAAACGAGAAAAAUUCUAUCCCCUUAAUACAACAAAAAUUUACCUUUAAGUUAAAAGGCUUAAAUAAAUCAACAAGACGACAAGACCCUAUAAAACUUAACUCUAUAAAAAUUUAUACAUAUAAAGAAAAUACAAAACAAAAGAGUUCAACUGGGGCGGUAUUUAUAAACAUAAAACUAUACAUUAACAAAACAUUAUUAUUGAAAAAUAAACCUUUUUUAAAAACAAAACACAAGUUACUUUAGGGAUAACAGCGUAAUAUUUUUUAAGAGUACAUAUCUACAAAACUGAUUACGACCUCGAUGUUGAAUUGGGACACCUUUCAAAAGCANAAUCUGAAAAGAAAGUCUGUUCGACUUUUAAUAUCCCAUG
This 467-nucleotide ribosomal RNA is filed under the name Crenoicus buntiae. Its description in RNAcentral is "partial 16S ribosomal RNA". It matches the Rfam family "Bacterial large subunit ribosomal RNA", at positions 1905 to 2600 of the family's 2925-position model. The record is from RNAcentral. Lineage: Eukaryota; Metazoa; Arthropoda; Malacostraca; Isopoda; Phreatoicidae.